AGUUAAAAUUUUCAUCAAUUUGUACUGUUAAAUCUAGUAUCGUUGGUAGAAUAACUAGAUAUUGACACGCGUACCUCAUGCUAAAGUAUAGGGACCAAAUUUUAAUAGUAAAAAUAGUUAGAAAUUUUAACA
Non-coding RNA from Gossypium raimondii (Peruvian cotton), 132 nucleotides. NCBI's taxonomy places the organism in Eukaryota, Viridiplantae, Streptophyta, Magnoliopsida, Malvales, Malvaceae. The record is from Rfam.